RNAcentral lists this ribosomal RNA (331 nucleotides) under uncultured eukaryote. Its description in RNAcentral is "partial 18S ribosomal RNA". It matches the Rfam family "Eukaryotic small subunit ribosomal RNA", at positions 1470 to 1796 of the family's 1831-position model. The record is from RNAcentral.
CCCUUAGAUGUUCUGGGCCGCACGCGUGCUACACUGAUGCAUUCAACGAGUCUAAAACCUGGUCUGAUAGGGCUGGGUAAUCUUUUGAAAGUGCAUCGUGAUUGGGAUAGAUGAUUGCAAUUCUUCAUCUUCAACGAGGAAUGCCUAGUAAACGCAAGUCAUCAGCUUGCAUUGAUUACGUCCCUGCCCUUUGUACACACCGCCCGUCGCUCCUACCGAUGGAACGAUCCGGUGAAAACUCUGGAUUGGAGGGUUUGGUUGUUGCUUUGCAACACUACCCUUCGAGAAAUUGUUUGAAUCUUAUCGUUUAGAGGAAGGAGAAGUCGUAACA